This 440-nucleotide ribosomal RNA is filed under the name uncultured bacterium. RNAcentral describes it as "partial 16S ribosomal RNA". It matches the Rfam family "Bacterial small subunit ribosomal RNA", at positions 338 to 795 of the family's 1533-position model. The record is from RNAcentral.
CCUACGGGUGGCAGCAGUAGGGAAUAUUGCUCAAUGGGGGAAACCCUGAAGCAGCAACGCCGCGUGGAGGAUGAAGGUUUUCGGAUUGUAAACUCCUUUUGUUAGAGAAGAUAAUGACGGUAUCUAACGAAUAAGCACCGGCUAACUCCGUGCCAGCAGCCGCGGUAAUACGGAGGGUGCAAGCGUUACUCGGAAUCACUGGGCGUAAAGAGCGCGUAGGCGGGAUAAAAAGUCAGAUGUGAAAUCCUAUGGCUUAACCAUAGAACUGCAUUUGAAACUGUUAGUCUAGAGUAUGGGAGAGGUAGGUGGAAUUCUUGGUGUAGGGGUAAAAUCCGUAGAGAUCAAGAGGAAUACUCAUUGCGAAGGCGACCUGCUGGAACAUAACUGACGCUGAUGCGCGAAAGCGUGGGGAGCAAACAGGAUUAGAUACCCCAGUAGUC